RNAcentral lists this long non-coding RNA (1225 nucleotides) under Serinus canaria (Common canary). Its description in RNAcentral is "lncRNA (ENSSCAG00000009977.1)". Lineage: Eukaryota; Metazoa; Chordata; Aves; Passeriformes; Fringillidae. The record is from RNAcentral.
CAGCCGUAUAUCCAGUCAUCAUCUCAUCACAGUACAGCUUCUCUUGUUGAUGCUGGCCACAGCUAGAUUACUUGGCAUGUUUAUUGACCUAACAGAAUUGGUUUUGGGUUUUGGUUUUGUUUUUUAAUGUAUACGAUGUUUAAAUACACUUCACAUUUUCUAUAAUACUAUCUGGCUAUUAGUAUUUUUCAGGAACCAUAGUUCUUGGUGGCUAUAUAUAUUUUUGUGACUUUUUUUGUAAACUAAGUGCCGUUUCAACGUUACAAUCAUUUUUAGAGUUAUUGUAAUCAAUGUGAAUAUCAUGUUUUUUCAAAUCUGUUCUGAGCCUGUAGUGUUUGCUUUGUGAUCAUAUGUGUAAUGUAUAUAUUCUGUAUAGUUACAUUGUAUUGAAAUACUAGCUUGUUUGAUAUAAGAAAAGUAUGUAUUGGGUACCUUUUUGCUAGCCUGGUUGUUUAAUCUUUAAAAAAAAAGUUCCAAAAUACAAAAAAAAAAUAUCUCCAAACUGGUCCCAUUAUAGGUCAAAAUUAAGGGGGGAGAAAAACUAGUUUUGAGUGUCUUUGGAUAGAAAUAUGAAGCUAAGAUUUUUCAUUAAAAUAUUAAUGUUUUAUGGAGUAUAUCUUUGCUUUGUGUGGUUAUUUAACUCUGGCAGUGUUUGCCUUGCAGUACUACAGAGUAACCUGGACCUUCAGUGAGAAGGUGCAGCUCUGUCCCUUGAGCUACAUUCUCUUCCAGCUUUGCUUACAACUAGUCCCAAAAGAGCUGAUGUGAGGAGAGCUCGCUGGUGCUGAAGCUGCCACUGGGAGGAAGCCCCACCUGUGUGAGUGAGCUGCAACCCUGGCUGGAUCAACACAUAACUUGGGAAAUGGCAGCUUGGCACCCUUACAAAGCAAGUGCACACUGUUGAAGCUUUUUGUGUGGCUUCCUUGGAGCAUUCAGCAUUUUCUUCCUGCCAGUAAUGAAGGAUUCUUUCUUUUGCUUGGAGGAGAGUGAGCUAGGACCAAACUCAGCUACUGAGAACGAGGCAGAGCAGGGACAAGAGUUCUCCCAGGCUGAUUACACCAUUUCUACCCAGAAUCUGACAUGGUCUAGACUUUUUAAAAGAAAAAACAAUGUCAGCUACAAACAGAUUGCUUUUAAAUAUGAAGGAACAUAGGUGGGGUAAGUAUUGGGUACAAUUCACUGAUGUCAAAAUAAAGUCCUUAAUUAUUUGGUGGCUUGAAGGAUU